Molecule: ribosomal RNA, 473 nt
Filed under: uncultured bacterium
Lineage: Bacteria
Description: bacterial SSU rRNA
Rfam family: Bacterial small subunit ribosomal RNA
Source: RNAcentral
UGGGGAAUAUUGCGCAAUGGGCGAAAGCCUGACGCAGCAACGCCGCGUGAGUGAUGAAGGCCUUCGGGUCGUAAAGCUCUGUCGGAGGGAACGAAUGCUCUUGAGGUUAACAGCCUCGGGAGGUGACGGUACCCUCAAAGGAAGCACCGGCUAACUCUGUGCCAGCAGCCGCGGUAAUACAGAGGGUGCAAGCGUUGUUCGGAAUCAUUGGGCGUAAAGGGCGUGUAGGCGGUAUGUUAAGUCAUGUGUGAAAUCCCUCGGCUCAACCGGGGAACGACGCAUGAAACUGAGGAGCUAGAGUGUGGAAGAGGGGGGUGGAAUUCCAGGUGUAGCAGUGAAAUGCGUAGAGAUCUGGAGGAACACCAAUGGCGAAGGCAGCCCCCUGGGCUAACACUGACGCUCAUGCACGAAAGCGUGGGGAGCAAACAGGAUUAGAUACCCACGUAGUCCCUGAGCGGGCUGGCAAGGCGCAU